CUAUUGCGAGUAAGAUAGGUUACAUACCCCCAACCAGGUCUGGUCAGGGAAGAAAGUUACAUGUUAGAAUUACCUAUUAGUUACUUUUCGGGUAUGAUAACUACCACCCUGGAUGGUUAGUCCGCCAUACAGAAAGGGCGUAGUUCAUACACCAUGUCUGACGAAACUGCUCAACGUAUUCUGCUGCUUGGCGCGGUUUACUUUUCACUCUUUCCUGUGUCUUAAACCAGGCAUUCCUCCCAUAAUCUACUAGUUGCAACCACAUCCUAUGAAACACUUGCUCCUGUUCCCAGAAAAUCCCGUUAAAUGCUGCGUCAUUCCUCUCAAUCCACAGCACCCACAUGAUAAUCCCUCGCAUCAGUAACCAGAUGCGACAGAACUCUUAAAUCUUCCUGGGAUCCUAUAUGCGAUGACACAAUGUUUCCACGAUGGAGCAAAUCGUGUGAGCCUUAAUCCUUGAUUAGUACCGUCCGCAGUGCCCGAUUGUGCCCUGUGCCCAAUCUCGCUGUGGUUCGCAUCGUGUGCAUGGAUGCUGAGCGCAUGUCUUGGCCUCGCAUUUUGUUCCGAGUUAGGGGUGAGGAGCUGAAGGAGAC
This 593-nucleotide long non-coding RNA is filed under the name Physcomitrium patens. RNAcentral's name for it is "long non-coding RNA (PPAT_LNC007607)". Lineage: Eukaryota; Viridiplantae; Streptophyta; Bryopsida; Funariales; Funariaceae. The record is from RNAcentral.